AUUGAACGCUGGCGGCAUGCCUUACACAUGCAAGUCGAACGGCAGCGGACCUUCGGGUGCCGGCGAGUGGCGAACGGGUGAGUAAUAUAUCGGAACGUACCUUUCAGUGGGGGAUAACGUAGCGAAAGUUACGCUAAUACCGCAUAUUCUGUGAGCAGGAAAGCAGGGGGAUCGCAAGACCUUGCGCUGAUUGAGCGGCCGAUAUCAGAUUAGCUAGUUGGUGAGGUAAAGGCUCACCAAGGCGACGAUCUGUAGCGGGGUCUGAGAGGAUGAUCCGCCACACUGGAACUGAGACACGGUCCAGACUCCUACGGGAGGCAGCAGUGGGGAAUUUUGGACAAUGGGCGCAAGCCUGAUCCAGCCCAUGCCGCGUGAGUGAAGAAGGCCUUCGGGUUGUAAAGCUCUUUCGGCCGGGAAGAAAUCGCACAGGUUAAUACCCUGUGUGGAUGACGGUACCGGAAUAAGAAGCACCGGCUAACUACGUG
This 485-nucleotide ribosomal RNA is filed under the name uncultured bacterium. RNAcentral describes it as "bacterial SSU rRNA". It matches the Rfam family "Bacterial small subunit ribosomal RNA", at positions 30 to 507 of the family's 1533-position model. The record is from RNAcentral.